RNAcentral lists this ribosomal RNA (234 nucleotides) under uncultured bacterium. RNAcentral's name for it is "partial 16S ribosomal RNA". It matches the Rfam family "Bacterial small subunit ribosomal RNA", at positions 104 to 334 of the family's 1533-position model. The record is from RNAcentral.
CGGGGUGAGUAACGCGUGGGUAACCUGCCUCAUACAGGGGGAUAACAGUUGGAAACGACUGCUAAUACCGCAUAAGCCCACGGCUCGGCAUCGAGCAGAGGGAAAAGGAGUGAUCCGCUUUGAGAUGGCCUCGCGUCCGAUUAGCUAGUUGGUGAGGUAACGGCCCACCAAGGCAACGAUCGGUAGCCGGACUGAGAGGUUGAACGGCCACAUUGGGACUGAGACACGGCCCAG